Molecule: transfer RNA, 75 nt
Filed under: Klebsiella spallanzanii
Lineage: Bacteria; Pseudomonadati; Pseudomonadota; Gammaproteobacteria; Enterobacterales; Enterobacteriaceae
Description: tRNA-Thr(tgt)
Rfam family: tRNA (bases 5-66)
About the family: Transfer RNA (tRNA) molecules are approximately 80 nucleotides in length. Their secondary structure includes four short double-helical elements and three loops (D, anti-codon, and T loops).
Source: RNAcentral
CCGACUUAGCUCAGUAGGUAGAGCAACUGACUUGUAAGCCGUAGGUCACAGGUUCGAACCCUGUAGGGCGUACCA